GGGCAUGUUCAGCCCGUCUUGCUCAGUCUCGAUGGGCCAGACCCCAGCACCAAGCUAACCUGCUGGUCGGAGUGUCUACCCGCUGUUGGUCAGUGGGGGUGAUAGUGACU
Long non-coding RNA from Myotis davidii, 110 nucleotides. RefSeq lists it as uncharacterized. Lineage: Eukaryota; Metazoa; Chordata; Mammalia; Chiroptera; Vespertilionidae. The transcript has 3 exons. The record is from RefSeq and is a predicted model, not a curated record.